RNAcentral lists this ribosomal RNA (1372 nucleotides) under uncultured bacterium. RNAcentral's name for it is "bacterial SSU rRNA". It matches the Rfam family "Bacterial small subunit ribosomal RNA", at positions 28 to 1381 of the family's 1533-position model. The record is from RNAcentral.
GAUGAACGCUGGCGGCGUGCCUAAUACAUGCAAGUCGAGCGAACGGACGAGAAGCUUGCUUCUCUGAUGUUAGCGGCGGACGGGUGAGUAACACGUGGAUAACCUACCUAUAAGACUGGGAUAACUUCGGGAAACCGGAGCUAAUACCGGAUAAUAUUUUGAACCGCAUGGUUCAAAAGUGAAAGACGGUCUUGCUGUCACUUAUAGAUGGAUCCGCGCUGCAUUAGCUAGUUGGUAAGGUAACGGCUUACCAAGGCAACGAUGCAUAGCCGACCUGAGAGGGUGAUCGGCCACACUGGAACUGAGACACGGUCCAGACUCCUACGGGAGGCAGCAGUAGGGAAUCUUCCGCAAUGGGCGAAAGCCUGACGGAGCAACGCCGCGUGAGUGAUGAAGGUCUUCGGAUCGUAAAACUCUGUUAUUAGGGAAGAACAUAUGUGUAAGUAACUGUGCACAUCUUGACGGUACCUAAUCAGAAAGCCACGGCUAACUACGUGCCAGCAGCCGCGGUAAUACGUAGGUGGCAAGCGUUAUCCGGAAUUAUUGGGCGUAAAGCGCGCGUAGGCGGUUUUUUAAGUCUGAUGUGAAAGCCCACGGCUCAACCGUGGAGGGUCAUUGGAAACUGGAAAACUUGAGUGCAGAAGAGGAAAGUGGAAUUCCAUGUGUAGCGGUGAAAUGCGCAGAGAUAUGGAGGAACACCAGUGGCGAAGGCGACUUUCUGGUCUGUAACUGACGCUGAUGUGCGAAAGCGUGGGGAUCAAACAGGAUUAGAUACCCUGGUAGUCCACGCCGUAAACGAUGAGUGCUAAGUGUUAGGGGGUUUCCGCCCCUUAGUGCUGCAGCUAACGCAUUAAGCACUCCGCCUGGGGAGUACGACCGCAAGGUUGAAACUCAAAGGAAUUGACGGGGACCCGCACAAGCGGUGGAGCAUGUGGUUUAAUUCGAAGCAACGCGAAGAACCUUACCAAAUCUUGACAUCCUUUGACAACUCUAGAGAUAGAGCCUUCCCCUUCGGGGGACAAAGUGACAGGUGGUGCAUGGUUGUCGUCAGCUCGUGUCGUGAGAUGUUGGGUUAAGUCCCGCAACGAGCGCAACCCUUAAGCUUAGUUGCCAUCAUUAAGUUGGGCACUCUAAGUUGACUGCCGGUGACAAACCGGAGGAAGGUGGGGAUGACGUCAAAUCAUCAUGCCCCUUAUGAUUUGGGCUACACACGUGCUACAAUGGACAAUACAAAGGGCAGCGAAACCGCGAGGUCAAGCAAAUCCCAUAAAGUUGUUCUCAGUUCGGAUUGUAGUCUGCAACUCGACUACAUGAAGCUGGAAUCGCUAGUAAUCGUAGAUCAGCAUGCUACGGUGAAUACGUUCCUGGGUCU